AGAGUUUGAUCCUGGCUCAGAUUGAACGCUGGCGGAAUGCUUUACACAUGCAAGUCGAACGGCAGCACGGGUGCUUGCACCUGGUGGCGAGUGGCGAACGGGUGAGUAACACAUAGGAACAUGCCCAGUAAUGGGGGAUAACGCCGAGAAAUCGGUGCUAAUACCGCAUACGCCCUACGGGGGAAAGCGGGGGAUCUUCGGACCUCGCGUUAUUGGAUUGGCCUAUGUCUGAUUAGCUAGUUGGUGAGGUAAAGGCUCACCAAGGCGACGAUCAGUAGCUGGUCUGAGAGGAUGAUCAGCCACACUGGAACUGAGACACGGUCCAGACUCCUACGGGAGGCAGCAGUGGGGAAUAUUGGACAAUGGGCGAAAGCCUGAUCCAGCCAUGCCGCGUGUGUGAAGAAGGCCUUCGGGUUGUAAAGCACUUUAAGUUGGGAGGAAAAGCGGUACG
RNAcentral lists this ribosomal RNA (451 nucleotides) under uncultured bacterium. Its description in RNAcentral is "bacterial SSU rRNA". It matches the Rfam family "Bacterial small subunit ribosomal RNA", at positions 8 to 459 of the family's 1533-position model. The record is from RNAcentral.